GGUAUUGAAAAAAAGGUCUGUAUCUUUGUAUAUUCAGUUAACAUGGAGAAGCCACCUUUUAAAAAAGAUCAGUUCUGUAAAGCAUAAUGCCUACUACACAGACAUCAUUAUUCUACUUAAAAGUCUUUUUUUAAAAUUCCAAAUACUUGUGGUAGUAGAAAGCAAUAAAUAUUCUAAAAUGAGGGAUAUUGGUCCUUUUGUGACUGAGCUAUAUGAUAAACUAAGGAAAACUACAGAAGUUGUGUCUAUUAACUCUUUAAGAUACAUGAUAUAGCAAAUAAUCAUUUAUAUAACCUCAUAGAAAGUUGAGAGGAUUAAUCGAAUUGUUUCAAAAUUUUUAAGGAGCCAAAUUUAAAUUCUCAAUAGCCUAUGAGAUUUUUUUGUAACUCUUUUAGAUUCUUAUCUGAAGAAUGCGUAGAUGUAGUAAAACCAUUAAAUACAGUAGUAUCUGGUGGCCUUUCUGUGUGGAGGAGCUUGUUUGUCCAAGGUAUGAUCUACCAGUGAGAAGAUCAGUGCCAGGUCACAGAAAAAGCUAAUCAUUCUUAGUUUAACCCUGACCAGCUAGUCUUCCUCCAGGCAUCAGCUACCUGAUUUUAAAGAGGCCAUAUUAGAAAUGAAAAGCAGCAGUCUCUAUCAUAUGUUAAAUUCAAAGGCAUAGCUGCUUGUGAAGACCCUAUUAUGUUUUAUUUGCCUAUCUGAGAAAGAGAUCUGCCUACCUGUCUUUAGGAAAAAGCAAUGCUUUACGUAGCUUCAAUUAGUCCUGCAUCAGGUUAUUCUAAUGCUUCCUACUGCAAAAACCAAGCACAUAAGUCUCCAAUCCUAAAAGUCACUAGAAUAUUGAUAUAAGGAAUUCUGUAGGUGUCAGCAGUAUCUCAGUAUUCAAACCUCUGUUUAGGGUCCUGCAUGUACUGUCAAAUUGGCCUCCAAAGAGCAAGUGAUAGAGCAUUCAGGUGUUUUAUUGGAUUUCAGAAUUCAGAUUCAGAAUUAAGUACUCUUGGGAUAAAGGAAAUUAACGAGCUUUUGACAUUUCAAGAACUCAUUGAGAUUGUCAAAGGCUUCAGUAAGGAACUCUAACAAAUAGAUCCGGAAGUCAUAAGUGAGAAAGAAAACGAGCAUGUCUAGUGAAAUCUGUCCAGUGUACAUAACACUGCACAAAGAGCAUAUUUUAUUCAGACCAUUUGGAUUCAGAUGUACCCUAAAGACAACUACGCUAUAAUGGCUUGUCUCCCACUUCCUGGCCUCUAGCCCUACCCAUUGCCCAGGUGGACGUUAUGUUUUUAGUUUUUCCUUUGUGGGUGAGGGAAGAAGAGGACAUCAGGUGAAGUGUGCCAUUACUAUUUGAAAACUAGCUCUGCAGGAAGGGUUAAAUCAAAUCCUUUACAGGGUGACCUUCCUACAUCUCCUUAGAGCAACUGUAUUUCAAAAUAGGCCAAAGCUGAAGUCAUAGGAAUGAGACAUUAAUUGUAGGUUUUCAGGAAAGCUUCGGAGACACGGCAGGUACAGUCUCCCUAGAGCCUUUGAAAAUACAACAUGUAGGUCCUUCUCAGAUUAUGCUGAAACUCCAAAUCCUUGUUAAAGGUUUUCCUGGAAUCCUACAGUCUGGUUUGAUCAGUUUAUUAUUAAGUACUGAAUGACACAGAAGGGCACACAGGGAGGAGUUGUAUCACAUGAAGUAAAAUAAUUAUUUCCUUAAGGAGAAACUUAAUUCUAGGGUACUUACAAUAGCUGCCUUAUUGGUGGACGGGAGGCAUAGAUGAUAGAUUUGCAAAUGGUGGGUUUUUUCGUUUUUUUAUUUUGGAGUAUUUGAAAAGAUACAUCAAGCAAUAAUAAACUAGAUGUGCAAUAAUCUUGUCGAGUAGUAUGUGCCGGUUUUGGAAAGGUGAAAAGAAAAUUGUGACAUUAGGCUGCUUUUAUCAAGCUAAGCAUGGGCAUGCCUUUCCAAAGGGUAUAUUUGAUCCUACGGUUAAUUUUAACAUCGGGCUGCAAGCUUAACCUCAUCAGGAGUGGAAUUAGAUUUUACAGCGUUCCCCUUAUCCAAACUACAGCAUGCUUACUACUUUCUCCUUGCAUUUUCCACACCUCAGCCCUCUGGGACCAGCUACUGGCAAGUCAUUUUGUCCAUUUUCAUUGAUCUGGCCACAUAAGGAACAUCCUGUUUCUUUAAAUCCUCAAUGCUUAAAUUGCCAUGUAGAAAUCAACUCCCUAUCAAUUUUCUUCAUUUAAUCAUUGGCUUCUUGUCAUAUUUUCAUUUUUCUGCACUGGUUCCCAUGGCAACAAGUCUGUUGGCAGAGAAAGUAUGACUCUGCUUUUAGCCUUCUGCACAAGACAAAAUCCUUCUGGUGAUCCUCAAUCUUUCCACUCAGAGGAUUCUUAUUUGUCUUGAAUGUGGAAAAGGCAUCUGGUUCAGAAAAAAAGUUGAUUACAGUUGAUCCUCAUUAUUUGUGGGUGCUAUAUUUGCGCACUGGGACAACUCUUUUCCAAAGAAAGACCCAAAAAUUGUAUAAAUAAGUCCAAAUGAAGCAUGAUGGGAAAUCAGGGACUAAUUCUGCUUGGAGGACAGGGAAGGCUUUCAAAG
This 2575-nucleotide small RNA is filed under the name Pongo abelii (Sumatran orangutan). Its description in RNAcentral is "retained intron". Lineage: Eukaryota; Metazoa; Chordata; Mammalia; Primates; Hominidae. The record is from RNAcentral.